Molecule: transfer RNA, 74 nt
Filed under: Vicugna pacos (alpaca)
Lineage: Eukaryota; Metazoa; Chordata; Mammalia; Artiodactyla; Camelidae
Description: tRNA-Ala (AGC) (tRNA-Ala-AGC-641-1, tRNA-Ala-AGC-641-2)
Rfam family: tRNA
About the family: Transfer RNA (tRNA) molecules are approximately 80 nucleotides in length. Their secondary structure includes four short double-helical elements and three loops (D, anti-codon, and T loops).
Source: RNAcentral
GGAGGGUAUAGCUCAAGUGGUAGAGCGCAUGCUUAGCAUGCAUGAGGUCCUGGGUUCAAUCCCCAGUACCUCCU